UUUUCAUAAUGAACAAGAGUAUCCUUCAUUGAUGCCUUGUAGUCUCAGUCAACUAGAAGUUUCAGUUGGCAACACUGUCCCUAUGCUUGGAUGUCAUUAUAGACAACCAGCAGCUUUGCCUCGUCAAAGUUCACAGAUCAAACGACGGUGGUCCAAAUCUAGGAUUAAAAUAUGACCGGCCUGCUCCUGAAAGGGGACAGACUGUGCGUUCCGUAGGUGAACCUGCGGAAGGAUCAUUACCGAGUGAGGGUCUCUCAGGCCCGACCUCCCACCCUGUGUUUUUGUGACCUUGUUGCUUUGGCGGGCCCGCCUCGAUGAGAGGCCGCCGGAAGCUCACCGCUUUGGGCCCGUGCCCGUCAGUAGCCCCCUUAAAUUCUUAAUAAACCUGUCGUCUGAGUUAAUGGAUAGAAUGAAAAAAAACUUUCAACAACGGAUCUCUUGGUUCUG
Molecule: unclassified non-coding RNA, 447 nt
Filed under: plant metagenome
Description: partial contains small subunit ribosomal RNA, internal transcribed spacer 1, and 5.8S ribosomal RNA
Source: RNAcentral